RNAcentral lists this ribosomal RNA (479 nucleotides) under uncultured bacterium. RNAcentral describes it as "bacterial SSU rRNA". It matches the Rfam family "Bacterial small subunit ribosomal RNA", at positions 28 to 507 of the family's 1533-position model. The record is from RNAcentral.
GACGAACGCUGGCGGCGUGCCUAAUACAUGCAAGUCGAGCGGACCUUCGGGGUUAGCGGCGGACGGGUGAGUAACACGUGGGUAAUCUGCCCAACUGACUGGAAUAACGCCUGGAAACGGGUGCUAAUGCUGGAUAGGCAACUGGUAGGCAUCUACCGGUUGGAAAGGUGCAACUGCACCGCAGAUGGAGGAGCCCGCGGCGCAUUAGCUAGUUGGUGGGGUAACGGCCUACCAAGGCGACGAUGCGUAGCCGACCUGAGAGGGUGGACGGCCACACUGGGACUGAGACACGGCCCAGACUCCUACGGGAGGCAGCAGUAGGGAAUCUUCCGCAAUGGGCGCAAGCCUGACGGAGCAACGCCGCGUGAGCGAAGAAGGCCUUCGGGUUGUAAAGCUCAGUCACUCGGGAAGAGCGGACGAGGGAGUGGAAAGCCCUCGUCGAGACGGUACCGAGAGAGGAAGCCCCGGCUAACUACGUG